CCCUCCCCCGCCACCCUGUCGCCGGCCCCGUUGCUCCCCCGCUCUGUCGCCGGCCGCGUCGCUCCCCCGCCCCAUCGCCGGCCCUCCCCCACCCCUUCGCCGGCCCUCCCCCUCGUCCACGACCCGCCCCAUCGAGGUCCAGGUCCGCGACGGAUCCGCCUACACCGGCGUCUUCCAGACCGCCUGCCUCGACGCCGGAUACAAUGCGCUUCCCCCUCUCCUCCCUCUCUACCGUAGAUUUCUUUUGGUCUGGUUCAGGGUUGGUGUCGGGCCCUGGGAUCACACGAAUGGCGCUCGGGCCGUGAUCUGGCUGCUGGGUGGAGAUGGUGGAUGCCGCGUGCCUAGUGCCUAGUGACACGACCUGGUUCAUCUCUGUUUUUUUCUGGGAGAAUGGGUUGUGAUCCGCUUGUUCGUCGACAGGCCCCGGUCGCCGGGAUGCCGCUUUUUGUUAGUAUUUCUUGCUGGGGCUGCAGCCGAGGGAGAUGCAUAGUGGACAGCGGCAGAGCGGGUCGGCAGAAGCGUGGUCGGAGGCGGGGUGGUGGUGUGAUGGCUGGGCGGCGCGUGCAUGUGUUGCCGUGUUGGGGCUGUGGUGGCUUGUGUGUGGUCUCUGCUAGGCAAUGAGAGAUUUAAAGUGAGAUGAUUAAGAGGUCCGGCGCCUUGAGCUCGCACCCGGCCGUCCCGCGCCGCUAGAUCCCUCCGGGUAGCGGCUUCCAGUUGCCUGGCACCGCCCGCUCCUUGACCUCGCGCCCGUUCAGGGGCGCCUCGUGUCAUCAGGUGUUGAGAGCUGCAAGUACCUUAAAUUUGUCACCACAACCCUUCUCUGUUUCAUCCUCAUACUACAUCGUCAUACGCCGCCGUUGACUUCCUGCGGAACCCCCAGUUGGCAGGAAAUGACUGAACUCGUGAUGCUCUUUCUUCCAGCGAUUUCGUUUGCUGGUCUGCUCUUCGCUCUUACUAUUUCCAGUAUUUUUUUGUAUAGCAGUUAGAUAUUGGAGGUAGCUGUGUGCUAUCUAUGGACCAUAUGGUACUGCUCGGAACAACCUGAUUGCGUUGCUCCAAGUGCAAUUGAAAUUCGAACACACCACAUUGCUCGGCUGCAUUUUAUAAGAAAGAAGUUAGGAGAACCAUUGACUGAUUUCAUUGGAGGAAUGAGGUACAGUGGUUAUAUGCAUGGUGAUUAAAUCAAGUUUUUUUACCUAUACUUCCAACCUGUAGGUGUAUUUGUGUUUAUGCUCUGUGGCGUUGAUCUGUAAAUCUUCCGAUGCUAUUUUGUGCCAUAUGGGCAAACACUAAGUUCUGAGGAAGAGAUGUCAUAUGUGUACCAUAUGGACAAACACUCUACAUUCUAAAGGACGGGCAGAACGUGCAUCCCCUGGGUAUGUUUAUUUAUUUACCAUUCAUUUUGUUAAACAUAUUUAAGUGCACUUGAAAUGUUGUUGUCUUGAAUAGUACAAGUUCUGGAAUGAAAGGAAAUUUCAGUACUCCAUAGGUUUGGUGAUCAAUUGUCGUUCUUUUUAAUGACGGUAGACAUUGUUGGACAGGGAAAUUCCCCCCUUUGUCAUGUUUUCAUGUCAGGGACUAUUAAAAAUAAAUUAUACUACCAUGUUCUAUCUUUAUAUCUAUUACACUGUACUAUCCUUGUGAUUAUAAUCACAAAUGAUAAUCUACAUAAUCCACCAUUUGAAACGAUUAAUAGCUCUUGCCAGAAAAGAGGAUGAACAUAAAAAUAUCUUUCUGCAGUUUAGACAUGUUUGCAUGGCCCCUUAUGUAUACAUUACCAAUGCAGUACUGUUUAUUAUCCAUGAUUUUUUAUUACUAUUAUUAUUCUCUUUUAGUGAGGAGCUUGAUAGGAAGAGAUCUCAAGCGCGAUCUCAAGCGCACGCACUAUACGAGGCUUCAGGAGGAAGGAUUCUAUGUUGUUCUAUUAUCUCCCCUUCUAGAACAGUUUUAACAUGGUCCCUCUGUAGUUCUUUCUGUAUAUGUACCUUGCAUAGGGUGUAGUUCAUGGUGAUAAUUCCAUUGUAUGUUUAUCAAUACACCACAUCAAUCUUAUAACUAGCUAGAAGAAGCGGCCUACCUCAUGCUCCCAUUUGAGUCUUGUGUGCAAGCUCAUAUUAUGAAAUGAUAUAAGCAUGCUUGAUUCAAGGAAGUUGCUGGUCUGAUGUCAUGUUAUACAACUUGUCCUGCUACAUUCCUGAAGUACUAAAAAAUGGAAAAUAAUGCAUUUCCUUCUAAUUCAUAUUUUUAUUUUUGAUUGUACUAUGAAUGUAUAUGAGAUUAUCAUAUAUUUCGCAGAACGAUCGCCCUGGUCGCUGGUUUAUUCCUCUGUUAAUCUAUUUCAAAUAUCUUUAAUCAGAGUCAAAGCAUGACAUAAUAGUUGGGUGUUUACCUGUGUUUUUUCUGCAUCUCCAUCCAGAUUUGUGUCCCAGAUCAUGGAGGAAUUACCCUCUCUGCUGGUGCGUUUAUAGUGCAUUAUUUGUAGUUCUAUUGGGAAGACAGUUAGAGACCCCGAGAGGCUGCUGCGAGCUGCUAUUCCCCUCCUCGAGCUGGCGGACUGAUGAUGGAGGACCCGCCCUCUUCGCUGCACCGGCGCCGCCGCUGCCACUUCUGCUUCUGUUACCCGUUGGCCCUGGGCGGCGCAUGUCCUCUGCUUCUAAGGCUUCUUCUGCUGAUGGUCUUCAAGGUGCUGCUGCUGCUCCCAAGCUGUGGCUGGCUUCGCUGCUGCAGCACCAUGCCGUCUUCAGCGACUCACCAACGACGGCAGCUCCUCCGCUGCAGGGCUACUGCGGCAUGCGUGUCUCCCUCCUCCAGGGAGGCUGUGCGGCACCGAGCGGGUGUACGGCGAGGUCUUCGUAAUGGCGUCAAGUCACCCUUGCCAUAUGGAUCAUAUAUUUGCUUCAGAUCACGGAAGCUUGGGUUGAUGGAGUGCUUGUCUUUAGUUU
Molecule: long non-coding RNA, 2942 nt
Organism: Triticum aestivum (bread wheat)
Lineage: Eukaryota; Viridiplantae; Streptophyta; Magnoliopsida; Poales; Poaceae
Exons: 3
Source: RefSeq, a predicted model, not a curated record